GGGGUUGUGGCUCAGUGGUAGAGCGCUUGCCUAGCAAGCAUGAGGCACUGGGUUCAAUUCUCAGCACCACA
RNAcentral lists this transfer RNA (71 nucleotides) under Marmota monax (woodchuck). RNAcentral's name for it is "tRNA.Ala". It matches the Rfam family "tRNA". Rfam says of the family: Transfer RNA (tRNA) molecules are approximately 80 nucleotides in length. The record is from RNAcentral. Lineage: Eukaryota; Metazoa; Chordata; Mammalia; Rodentia; Sciuridae.